GAUGAACGCUGGCGGCGUGCCUAAUACAUGCAAGUCGAGCGAACAGACGAGGAGCUUGCUCCUCUGACGUUAGCGGCGGACGGGUGAGUAACACGUGGAUAACCUACCUAUAAGACUGGGAUAACUUCGGGAAACCGGAGCUAAUACCGGAUAAUAUAUUGAACCGCAUGGUUCAAUAGUGAAAGACGGUUUUGCUGUCACUUAUAGAUGGAUCCGCGCCGCAUUAGCUAGUUGGUAAGGUAACGGCUUACCAAGGCAACGAUGCGUAGCCGACCUGAGAGGGGGAACGGCCACACUGGAACUGAGACACGGCCCAGACCCCUAGGGGAGGCAGCAGUAGGGAAUUUUCCGCAAUGGGCGAAAGCCUGACGGAGCAACGCCGCGUGAGUGAUGAAGGGCUUCGGAUCGUAAAACUCUGUUAUUGGGGAAGAAAAAAUGUGUAAGUAACUAUGCACGUUUUGACGGUACCUAAGCAGAAAGCCACGGCUAACUACGU
RNAcentral lists this ribosomal RNA (496 nucleotides) under uncultured bacterium. RNAcentral's name for it is "partial 16S ribosomal RNA". It matches the Rfam family "Bacterial small subunit ribosomal RNA", at positions 28 to 506 of the family's 1533-position model. The record is from RNAcentral.